RNAcentral lists this ribosomal RNA (198 nucleotides) under Agathobaculum sp. RNAcentral's name for it is "partial 16S ribosomal RNA". It matches the Rfam family "Bacterial small subunit ribosomal RNA", at positions 1 to 181 of the family's 1533-position model. Lineage: Bacteria; Bacillati; Bacillota; Clostridia; Eubacteriales; Butyricicoccaceae. The record is from RNAcentral.
UUUUUAGAGAGUUUGAUCCUGGCUCAGGAUGAACGCUGGCGGCGUGCCUAACACAUGCAAGUCGAACGGAGUCGUUUUGGAAAAUCCUUCGGGAUUGGAAUUCUCGACUUAGUGGCGGACGGGUGAGUAACGCGUGAGCAAUCUGCCUUUAAGAGGGGGAUAACAGUCGGAAACGGCUGCUAAUACCGCAUAAAGCAU